Molecule: ribosomal RNA, 274 nt
Filed under: uncultured Lachnospiraceae bacterium
Lineage: Bacteria; Bacillati; Bacillota; Clostridia; Lachnospirales; Lachnospiraceae
Description: partial 16S ribosomal RNA
Rfam family: Bacterial small subunit ribosomal RNA
Source: RNAcentral
AAGUUUUCGGAUGGAUUCCUGAUUGACUGAGCGGCGGACGGGUGAGUAACGCGUGGGUAACCUGCCUCAUACAGGGGGAUAACAGUUAGAAAUGACUGCUAAUACCGCAUAAGCGCACAGUACCACAUGGUACGGUGUGAAAAACUCCGGUGGUAUGAGAUGGACCCGCGUCUGAUUAGCUAGUUGGUGGGGUAACGGCCCACCAAGGCGACGAUCAGUAGCCGACCUGAGAGGGUGAUCGGCCACAUUGGGACUGAGACACGGCCCAAACUCC